GAAAGCCAAUCAACCAAUCGCAGGCGACCCAACAUGGCCGCAGUGAUCUCACCGGAAAAGCAUAUUUUUGACCAAGGAGGGUUCUCAGGGUGACGCGUUCUUUGGUGUGGAUGCUGUGUAGACGAUAGUACAGCCAGAAACAUAAAACAUCCCCCACAGCUGUUUAUCUACUGCUGGAACUGUUCUAGACUGGUGGCAAGAGAAAUGAGAAAAUACAACAUCAGAGUUCUCGGGUUAUGCGAAACCAGAUGGAAUGGAAGUGACCAGACUAACAUCAGGAGAAACCAUUAUUCUGGCCACAAAGACCCGAACCAUGAUCAGUAAUAAACCAGUCAAAAUGAUGGUCAUUUCAAGAAA
Molecule: long non-coding RNA, 357 nt
Organism: Pomacea canaliculata
Lineage: Eukaryota; Metazoa; Mollusca; Gastropoda; Architaenioglossa; Ampullariidae
Exons: 2
Source: RefSeq, a predicted model, not a curated record